Long non-coding RNA from Ceratosolen solmsi marchali, 289 nucleotides. RefSeq lists it as uncharacterized. NCBI's taxonomy places the organism in Eukaryota, Metazoa, Arthropoda, Insecta, Hymenoptera, Agaonidae. The transcript has 3 exons. The record is from RefSeq and is a predicted model, not a curated record.
CUAUUACGCUCUGCAUCCAAUAAAAAAGAAUUCACAGUUGUUAAUUAACUACCACCUAAAUUAUUAUGAAGAGGAAAAGGUCAUUAGACAACGAAAUCUUCUACAUAUAUUUGGAUUUAUAUGUAAUUGUAUACCGUGUGAAAAUAAUUGGAAUUGUAGAAAUGAUACAUUUCUAGAAAUAUAUAAUAAGUGUCGUCAAAAAUCUACUAAGUUAAAUUUAUUAUUUUUUAAAAAUCUCGAAUUUAUACAAAAUCUUUAUUCUCAUCGUAAAGAAUGUAGUGAAAAGGAA